This 145-nucleotide small RNA is filed under the name Cronobacter malonaticus. Its description in RNAcentral is "RtT sRNA". It matches the Rfam family "RtT RNA". From Rfam's summary of the family: This family represents a bacterial cis-regulatory element known as RtT RNA. The exact function of RtT is unknown although it is thought that it may be involved in changing the cellular response in relation to amino acid starvation. The record is from RNAcentral. Lineage: Bacteria; Pseudomonadati; Pseudomonadota; Gammaproteobacteria; Enterobacterales; Enterobacteriaceae.
UAUCGCGCCGGCCCGGGAGGGAUGAGAAGCCUCGACCCGGGUUCGACCACUGGCGCAGCCAGGGGGACAGUCGGCGAGCCAUGCGAGCUGACUGCCCGCAGGGUGAAGAGCCCAACGGGCCGAAUCAAUCCCUCCCUCACCGCCA